RNAcentral lists this ribosomal RNA (450 nucleotides) under uncultured bacterium. RNAcentral's name for it is "bacterial SSU rRNA". It matches the Rfam family "Bacterial small subunit ribosomal RNA", at positions 29 to 523 of the family's 1533-position model. The record is from RNAcentral.
AACGAACGCUGGCGGCAUGCCUAACACAUGCAAGUCGAACGAAGUCUUCGGACUUAGUGGCGCACGGGUGCGUAACGCGUGGGAAUCUGCCCUUGGGUGCGAAAUAACUUCUCGAAAGGGAUGCUAAUACCGCAUAAUGUCGUAAGACCAAAGAUUUAUCGCCCAAGGAUGAGCCCGCGUAAGAUUAGCUAGUUGGUGGGUAAAAGCCUACCAAGGCGACGAUCUUUAGCUGGUCUGAGAGGAUGAUCAGCCACACUGGGAUUGAGACACGGCCCAGACUCCUACGGGAGGCAGCAGUGGGGAAUAUUGGACAAUGGGCGAAAGCCUGAUCCAGCAAUGCCGCGUGAGUGAUGAAGGCCCUAGGGUUGUAAAGCUCUUUUUACCAGGGUAUGAUAAUGACAGUACCUGGAGAAUAAGCUCCGGCUGACUCCGUGCCAGCAGCCGCGGUAA